Molecule: ribosomal RNA, 380 nt
Filed under: uncultured eukaryote
Lineage: Eukaryota
Description: partial 18S ribosomal RNA
Rfam family: Eukaryotic small subunit ribosomal RNA
Source: RNAcentral
CAAUAGCGUAUAUUAAAGCUGUUGCGGUUAAAAAGCUCGUAGUUGGAUUUCUGUCAAGGACAACUGGUCCGCCCUCCGGGUGAGCACAUAGUUUGGUCUUGGCAUCUUGCUGGAAACUGUUGCUGCGCUUGGUUGUGUGGUGCAGCUUUCAGCACUUUCACUUUGAGGAAAUUGGAGUGUUUCAAGCAGGCACAUGCCUUUGGACACAGUAGCAUGGAAUAAUUAGAUUGGGCUUUUGCUCCAACUUGUUGGUUCCUGGAGCUGAGGUGAGAAUCAAUGGGGAUUGUUGGGGGCAUCCGAAUUUAGCCGUCAGAGGUGAAAUUCUUGGAUCUGCUAAAGACGGACAACUUCGAAAGCGUUUGCCCAGGAUGUUUNCAUUG